GACGAACGCUGGCGGCGUGCCUAAUACAUGCAAGUGGGACGCAAGAGAACACACUGUGCUUGCACACCGUGUUUUCUUGAGUCGCGAACGGGUGAGUAACGCGUAGGUAACCUGCCUAUUAGCGGGGGAUAACUAUUGGAAACGAUAGCUAAUACCGCAUAAUAUUAAUUAUUGCCUGAUAAUUGAUUGAAAGAUGCAAGCGCAUCACUAGUAGAUGGACCUGCGUUGUACUAGCUAGUUGGUAAGGUAAGAGCUUACCAAGGCGACGAUACAUAGCCGACCUGGGAGGGUGAUCGGCCACACUGGGACUGAGACACGGCCCAGACUCCUACGGGAGGCAGCAGUAGGGAAUCUGCGGCAAUGGACGAAAGUCUGACCGAGCAACGCCGCGUGAGUGAAGAAGGUUUUCGGAUCGUAAAGCUCUGUUGUAAGUCAAGAACGUGUGUGAGAGUGGAAAGUUCACACAGUGACGGUAGCUUACCAGAAAGGGACGGCUAACUACGUGCCAGCAGCCGCGGUAA
RNAcentral lists this ribosomal RNA (521 nucleotides) under uncultured bacterium. RNAcentral's name for it is "partial 16S ribosomal RNA". It matches the Rfam family "Bacterial small subunit ribosomal RNA", at positions 28 to 523 of the family's 1533-position model. The record is from RNAcentral.